Rosa chinensis is the source of this 1118-nucleotide long non-coding RNA. RefSeq lists it as uncharacterized. Lineage: Eukaryota; Viridiplantae; Streptophyta; Magnoliopsida; Rosales; Rosaceae. The record is from RefSeq and is a predicted model, not a curated record. The transcript is spliced from 6 exons.
UAAAAGGUCUUUAUAUAUAAAUAGCUAAAUUGAGAAUUUGAGAUCUAAAAACCCCGACUCCAUCUGCCGGCCGUACUCAAGAGCAACCAUGACCUAGGGCAGAAACUGUUCAAUUUUUCAGGUUUCAAAUUAUGGAUCCACUUCCAGGAAGGAGCAGGGAUUUGCUUAAGAAUCAUAAGCAGCUGUGUCUUCGUUCAUUUCUAGGUUCAGAGAUUUGAAGGAUUGGCUCCGUCUGCUUUAUUAUUGCAGUGUUCCAAUAGAAGAAGAACAAGAAGAGGAGUGAUAGAUUUCAGUUUGGUUUGAAAAGUUCAAUUACUUACGAGGACUAUGUUGCCUGUUUUGCUUGAUUCACGCUGCCCAUUUCAGAAGCGUAUGCCUUUGUGAUGGGGGAUAACCGCAACAACAGUUGACUCUCAUAACUGAACAAGGUGAAAGCUGCCAAUGAAUUUCAAAUCUUGGGAUAUCAAGGUCUCCAUAUGUUCAUUUUUCGUCUGUUUCUUACUCAUUGUAGACAACUAGACAUGCAUUAAGCGAUUAUGAUUUUGUUCAGAGUGUUCAACCCAUAGAAAUAUUUAAUGAUGCAUUUAGGAAAUUUCUUGCACACUCAAUAAGAAGACAGCCAAAAGCUCCUGAGGUAUGCAACCCUUACACUCUUUGUGCUGGAUUUAUUUUAGUAUUGGUUGUGUACAAGUCACUUGCAGUUUAAUCUUUUUGAACUGUCAGGAGGAUUCAGAGGUUGGUAAUAGGUGUUAAAAAGAUGUUUGUCUCAUGCAAAUGAGACAUGUAGCAUAUAUACUUGCUUUCAAGGUUUGCUGACUGUGGUGCAGAAGGACUUUAGACUUCUACAUUAUCAACAGUUGCAUUUCGAUGAUUGUGGAGAUCGUGUUUCUCAGUUGUUACAUGUUGAAUUAGCUGCCCCAGCUUUACACUUUCAAAACAAUGAUAUUCUAGAAGACCUCAUUAUUCAAAUUUGUGUAUAGUAAUUAGCUAAAGUACCAGAUUUUGGAUCAUGUAAAACAAUGUUUGAUGUGUAUGUACAACGCAUUUAUAUAGUGUACCUAAUAUUUGUAAAUUCAAUACUGUUGAAUUCAAUAAUGUCCAUGAUAUAUCUUGCUAUA